RNAcentral lists this ribosomal RNA (600 nucleotides) under uncultured bacterium. RNAcentral describes it as "bacterial SSU rRNA". It matches the Rfam family "Bacterial small subunit ribosomal RNA", at positions 741 to 1344 of the family's 1533-position model. The record is from RNAcentral.
UGACGCUAAAGCUCGAAAGUGCGGGUAUCGAACAGGAUUAGAUACCCUGGUAGUCCGCACGGUAAACGAUGGAUGCCCGCUGUUUGCCCUUCGGGGUGAGUGGCUAAGCGAAAGCGUUAAGCAUCCCACCUGGGGAGUACGCCGGCAACGGUGAAACUCAAAAGGAAUUGACGGGGGCCCGCACAAGCGGAGGAACAUGUGGUUUAAUUCGAUGAUACGCGAGGAACCUUACCCGGGCUUGAACUGCAGGAGAACGAUACAGAGAUGUUGAGGUCCUUCGGGACUCCUGUGGAGGUGCUGCAUGGUUGUCGUCAGCUCGUGCCGUGAGGUGUCGGCUUAAGUGCCAUAACGAGCGCAACCCCUUUCGUUAGUUGCCAUCAGGUGAUGCUGGGCACUCUGGCGAUACUGCCACCGUAAGGUGUGAGGAAGGUGGGGAUGACGUCAAAUCAGCACGGCCUGAACGUCCGGGGCUACACACGUGUUACAAUGGCGCAUACAGAGAGUCGGUUGCAUGUAAAUGUGAUCUAAUCAAUAAAGUGCGUCGUAGUUCGGACUGGGGUCUGCAACCCGACCCCACGAAGCUGGAUUCGCUAGUAAUCG